GAGCAGGAUGGCGGAGAGCGCCCGCGGUCUUGCCGGGAACGCUCCCACCGGGGAUGGAAGUGAAGGGCCGGUGCGGACACCGGCCCUGCUCAC
Molecule: transfer RNA, 93 nt
Filed under: Nocardiopsis terrae
Lineage: Bacteria; Bacillati; Actinomycetota; Actinomycetes; Streptosporangiales; Nocardiopsidaceae
Description: tRNA-Gly
Source: RNAcentral